Long non-coding RNA from Polypterus senegalus (gray bichir), 1453 nucleotides. RefSeq lists it as uncharacterized. The record is from RefSeq and is a predicted model, not a curated record. The transcript is spliced from 3 exons. Lineage: Eukaryota; Metazoa; Chordata; Cladistia; Polypteriformes; Polypteridae.
GACAAGAGUGCCAAAGAGGAGGGAUAAAUUACAACCUGGAUGAAAAUAUUCAGUGUUACCUACAGCACUGGGCAGGGGUGUCUAACACUCUUUUGAAGAGAGCAGGCAAGUGGCAACAAGACCUCUUUACUAACAGAUGACAACACUUUGUCAAGCUGGAAUAGACACCAUGCAAAUAUGAAGCAUGUCCAAGUUUGUCAAGGCUGGAUGGGUCUUAUGACAAUCUGUCUCAUUAGAAGACUGAGUUAUGAAAGCCUCCUCUCAUCAUGAUUUGCCCCAUCUCUCACAAUUUAUAACAGAAACAGAUUCCGUACAGUCAACACCAUUUAACAGGAGGCAUCAACUGAGGAACAGAGAUCUACAGAAAGAGUGGGGCAAGAGAGGUCCAGGUGGAAGUUAUAAGCCAUCAUCCACUAUGCUACUAUUUUUAAUAAGAAUGUCAGUUCAUCCAAUAAAAAAUAACAUCAAUAAAACUACAAUGACUAAAUAUGGCAGUUUCUGGGUCUAUCAUGGCUUUGCUGGGGUUUAGUCACUGGUCUUAAUUUUGUUUAUUUCUGCCUAUUUCUUUUUUGUGUGUAAAUUGUCCUGUUGUUUCUGUUAAUUAAAUGUUUUAUGUUGAUUAUGUUAAUUUAUUUAAUCUAAUGCCAACGAACUGUAAAGAAUUUGUGAGGCAGCCAGGAGACAGUCAUUGAAGACAGAAAAAGGGUCAAAAAUGCGAGUGUCAAAGCCAUAACAAGAGACAAAAUUGGAAGGCAAAAUAAACAGGAGGAGAAGACAAAACUACAGAUGAUUUUAAUUCCAUUGAAGAACACAGUGAAUGCUUUGGAAAAGGUUUGUUAUGUGCAGCUCGAAUGGGGAAGUGAACUCUUGGGUAACCCAUCAAACCAUUACUCAAAGGUCAUGACCUCUGUGGACAUGCCCCUAACAAUACGGGCAGCUGCCCUAACAAUGGGAAUCCCAAAAUGGCAGGGGUUGAAUCUUGUUUUGCUUUUUUGCUUCGUAUUUCUAUUGUUUUUUGUUUUCUUUUUAUUAAUUUCAAAGUAAAUGGUUGUAUCUGUUAUGUUAUUAUUAUAUGUUUGAUUGAGUAGCAUGCCAUUGUCAUGUUCUUGUUUUUGAAAAAUAUAAAUAUAUAUUAAAAAAGUCAGCAAAUAUGUAAAACAAACAGUAUUGAAAAGGACCAAAAUAAUAAACAAAAUUUAAAGUAAAUGCAAUGCUGGUGCUAGGUUAUUUUGUGCCCCAGGCCAAGCUUAUUAGUGCGCCAACCAACUGUUCGGUGGCUGACUUGUUACGGCUGGGUUUUUUCCUCCCUUACAAUCUGCUCCCCCUUGCGAUUGACUAAUUCGCCUCAAUGGUAGUGCCUGCCCUGUGUAAAUAGAGAGUUCACAAUAAGGAAUCAGAAUCUAUGACCCAAAAAUUGCCCUGAAAUGAGUUUCAGAUCUCUGAAAUUGACCCA